UCCCUGGUGGCCUAGUGGUUAAGGAUCUGGCAUUGUCACUGCUCUGGCUCAGGUUCGAUCCCUGGCCUGGGGA
RNAcentral lists this transfer RNA (73 nucleotides) under Sus scrofa (pig). It matches the Rfam family "tRNA". Rfam says of the family: Transfer RNA (tRNA) molecules are approximately 80 nucleotides in length. Their secondary structure includes four short double-helical elements and three loops (D, anti-codon, and T loops). Lineage: Eukaryota; Metazoa; Chordata; Mammalia; Artiodactyla; Suidae. The record is from Rfam by way of RNAcentral.